AGGCCAAUCAAACCUGGAGAUAGCUGGUUCUCCCCGAAAGCUAUUUAGGUAGCGCCUCGGACGAAUACUACUGGGGGUAGAGCACUGUUAAGGCUAGGGGGUCAUCCCGACUUACCAACCCUUUGCAAACUCCGAAUACCAGUAAGUACUAUCCGGGAGACACACGGCGGGUGCUAACGUCCGUCGUGGAGAGGGAAACAACCCAGACCGCCAGCUAAGGUCCCAAAUUACUACUAAGUGGGAAACGAUGUGGGAAGGCUCAGACAGCCAGGAUGUUGGCUUAGAAGCAGCCAUCAUUUAAAGAAAGCGUAAUAGCUCACUGGUCGAGUCGGCCUGCGCGGAAGAUGUAACGGGGCUAAGUAGUAAACCGAAGCUGCGGCAAUAUACUUUUGUAUAUUGGGUAGGGGAGCGUUCUGUAAGCGGUUGAAGGUGUGUGGUAACGCAUGCUGGACGUAUCAGAAGUGCGAAUGCUGACAUGAGUAACGAUAAAGGGGGUGAAAAACCUCCUCGCCGGAAGACCAAGGGUUCCUGUCCAACGUUAAUCGGGGCAGGGUAAGUCGACCCCUAAGGCGAGGCCGAAAGGCGUAGUCGAUGGGAAACGGGUUAAUAUUCCCGUACUUCUUACAAUUGCGAUGGGGGGACGGAGAAGGCUAGGUGGGCCUGGCGACGGUUGUCCAGGUUCAAGUGCGUAGGCUGAGAGAUUAGGUAAAUCCGGUUUCUCUUAAGGCUGAGACACGACGUCGAGCACCUACGGGUGUGAAGUCAUUGAUGCCAUGCUUCCAGGAAAAGCCUCUAAGCUUCAGAUUGUAAGGAAUCGUACCCCAAACCGACACAGGUGGUCGGGUAGAGAAUACCAAGGCGCUUGAGAGAACUCGGGUGAAGGAACUAGGCAAAAUGGUACCGUAACUUCGGGAGAAGGUACGCUCUCGACGGUGAAGUCCCUUGCGGAUGGAGCUAUUGAGAGUCGCAGAUACCAGGUGGCUGCAACUGUUUAUUAAAAACACAGCACUGUGCAAAAUCGUAAGAUGACGUAUACGGUGUGACGCCUGCCCGGUGCCGGAAGGUUAAUUGAUGGGGUUAGACUUCGGUCGAAGCUCUUGAUCGAAGCCCCGGUAAACGGCGGCCGUAACUAUAACGGUCCUAAGGUAGCGAAAUUCCUUGUCGGGUAAGUUCCGACCUGCACGAAUGGCGUAAUGAUGGCCACGCUGUCUCCACCCGAGACUCAGUGAAAUUGAAAUCGCUGUGAAGAUGCAGUGUACCCGCGGCUAGACGGAAAGACCCCGUGAACCUUUACUACAGCUUGGCACUGAACAUUGACCCUACAUGUGUAGGAUAGGUGGGAGGCUUUGAAGCACGUACGCCAGUAUGUGUGGAGCCGUCCUUGAAAUACCACCCUUGUAGUGUUGAUGUUCUAACGUCGACCCCUUAUCGGGGUUGCGGACAGUGCCUGGUGGGUAGUUUGACUGGGGCGGUCUCCUCCCAA
This 1483-nucleotide ribosomal RNA is filed under the name Vibrio parahaemolyticus. RNAcentral describes it as "bacterial LSU rRNA". It matches the Rfam family "Bacterial large subunit ribosomal RNA", at positions 826 to 2293 of the family's 2925-position model. Lineage: Bacteria; Pseudomonadati; Pseudomonadota; Gammaproteobacteria; Vibrionales; Vibrionaceae. The record is from RNAcentral.